Molecule: ribosomal RNA, 497 nt
Filed under: uncultured bacterium
Lineage: Bacteria
Description: partial 16S ribosomal RNA
Rfam family: Bacterial small subunit ribosomal RNA
Source: RNAcentral
GAUGAACGCUGGCGGCGUGCCUAAUACAUGCAAGUCGAGCGAACAGAUAAGGAGCUUGCUCCUUUGACGUUAGCGGCGGACGGGUGAGUAACACGUGGGUAACCUACCUAUAAGACUGGAAUAACUCCGGGAAACCGGGGCUAAUGCCGGAUAACAUUUAGAACCGCAUGGUUCUAAAGUGAAAGAUGGUUUUGCUAUCACUUAUAGAUGGACCCGCGCCGUAUUAGCUAGUUGGUAAGGUAACGGCUUACCAAGGCAACGAUACGUAGCCGACCUGAGAGGGUGAUCGGCCACACUGGAACUGAGACACGGUCCAGACUCCUACGGGAGGCAGCAGUAGGGAAUCUUCCGCAAUGGGCGAAAGCCUGACGGAGCAACGCCGCGUGAGUGAUGAAGGUCUUCGGAUCGUAAAACUCUGUUAUUAGGGAAGAACAAAUGUGUAAGUAACUGUGCACGUCUUGACGGUACCUAAUCAGAAAGCCACGGCUAACUGCGUG